Molecule: long non-coding RNA, 341 nt
Organism: Ornithodoros turicata
Lineage: Eukaryota; Metazoa; Arthropoda; Arachnida; Ixodida; Argasidae
Exons: 2
Source: RefSeq, a predicted model, not a curated record
CGGGCAACUGCAGGAUGCGCUUUCACAUGACAAGGCAAUUGCAUCGGAUAUCUCCAUGGCUGAUAUUCUCCGACUUGAAGAAGAAAUCCGAAGGUUAAACCACGAGGUCUACAAGCUGAAGGCACAUAUGGCACAUACGAGAAAUGACACAAGCGUAUUUUCAGAAUGACUCUGCUGCAGUGAAGUUUUACUCUGGACUUCCCAACUAUGCAAUGUUGCUUACAGUUUUCGAUUUGGUUGAGAACCAUGUCCACCAUACAUCUUGCAAUUCUUUGACGAAAUUUCAGGAGAUAAUGUUAACUUUGGUUCGGCUUUGUUUAAACGUGCCUCUUCAAGAUCUU